CAAGUCGAACGAGCGAGAGAGAGCUUGCUUUCUCAAGCGAGUGGCGAACGGGUGAGUAACGCGUGAGGAACCUGCCUCAAAGAGGGGGACAACAGUUGGAAACGACUGCUAAUACCGCAUAAGCCCACGGCUCGGCAUCGAGCAGAGGGAAAAGGAGCAAUCCGCUUUGAGAUGGCCUCGCGUCCGAUUAGCUAGUUGGUGAGGUAACGGCCCACCAAGGCGACGAUCGGUAGCCGGACUGAGAGGUUGAACGGCCACAUUGGGACUGAGACACGGCCCAGACUCCUACGGGAGGCAGCAGUGGGGAAUAUUGCACAAUGGGGGAAACCCUGAUGCAGCGACGCCGCGUGGAGGAAGAAGGUCUUCGGAUUGUAAACUCCUGUUGUUGAGGAAGAUAAUGACGGUACUCAACAAGGAAGUGACGGCUAACUACGUGCCAGCAGCCGCGGUAAAACGUAGGUCACAAGCGUUGUCCGGAAUUACUGGGUGUAAAGGGAGCGCAGGCGGGAAGACAAGUUGGAAGUGAAAUCCAUGGGCUCAACCCAUGAACUGCUUUCAAAACUGUUUUUCUUGAGUAGUGCAGAGGUAGGCGGAAUUCCCGGUGUAGCGGUGGAAUGCGUAGAUAUCGGGAGGAACACCAGUGGCGA
RNAcentral lists this ribosomal RNA (647 nucleotides) under uncultured Lachnospiraceae bacterium. Its description in RNAcentral is "bacterial SSU rRNA". It matches the Rfam family "Bacterial small subunit ribosomal RNA", at positions 58 to 718 of the family's 1533-position model. Lineage: Bacteria; Bacillati; Bacillota; Clostridia; Lachnospirales; Lachnospiraceae. The record is from RNAcentral.